This 450-nucleotide ribosomal RNA is filed under the name uncultured bacterium. Its description in RNAcentral is "partial 16S ribosomal RNA". It matches the Rfam family "Bacterial small subunit ribosomal RNA", at positions 354 to 796 of the family's 1533-position model. The record is from RNAcentral.
GUGGGGAAUAUUGGACAAUGGGCGAAAGCCUGAUCCAGCCAUGCCGCGUGUGUGAAGAAGGUCUUCGGAUUGUAAAGCACUUUAAGUUGGGAGGAAGGGCAGUAAGUUAAUACCUUGCUGUUUUGACGUUACCGACAGAAUAAGCACCGGCUAACUCUGUGCCAGCAGCCGCGGUAAUACAGAGGGUGCAAGCGUUAAUCGGAAUUACUGGGCGUAAAGCGCGCGUAGGUGGUUCGUUAAGUUGGAGGUGAAAUCCCCGGGCUCAACCUGGGAACCGCCUCCAAAACUGCAUGACUAGAGUACGGUAGAGGGUAGUGGAAUUUCCUGUGUAGCGGUGAAAUGCGUAGAUAUAGGAAGGAACACCAGUGGCGAAGGCGACUACCUGGACUGAUACUGACACUGAGGUGCGAAAGCGUGGGGAGCAAACAGGAUUAGAAACCCGAGUAGUCC